RNAcentral lists this ribosomal RNA (254 nucleotides) under uncultured bacterium. RNAcentral describes it as "partial 16S ribosomal RNA". It matches the Rfam family "Bacterial small subunit ribosomal RNA", at positions 524 to 776 of the family's 1533-position model. The record is from RNAcentral.
AACGUAGGUGGCGAGCGUUAUCCGGAUUUACUGGGCGUAAAGGGUGUGCAGGCGGGGGGACAAGUGGGGUAUGAAACCUCCAGGCUCAACCUGGAGACGCCACCCGAUACUGCUGUGACUGGAGUCCGGUAGGGGAGCGUGGAAUUCCUGGUGUAGCGGUGAAAUGCGCAGAUAUCAGGAGGAACACCAGCGGCGAAGGCGGCGCUCUGGGCCGGUACUGACGCUGAGGAGCGAAAGCGUGGGUAGCAAACAGG